This 66-nucleotide transfer RNA is filed under the name Scaphidium formosanum. RNAcentral's name for it is "tRNA-Ala". Lineage: Eukaryota; Metazoa; Arthropoda; Insecta; Coleoptera; Staphylinidae. The record is from RNAcentral.
AGGAUUAUAGUUAAAUUAACAUUUAAGUUGCAUUUAAAAAAUACUGAAAACCCUCAGUUAAUCUUA